Salmo trutta (river trout) is the source of this 94-nucleotide vault RNA. Its record names the gene Vault. It matches the Rfam family "Vault RNA". Rfam says of the family: This family of RNAs are found as part of the enigmatic vault ribonucleoprotein complex. NCBI's taxonomy places the organism in Eukaryota, Metazoa, Chordata, Actinopteri, Salmoniformes, Salmonidae. The record is from Ensembl.
GCGCUGGUUUAGCUCAGUGGUUACUUCAACUCGGUUUCUGUUUCACGGCCCGCGGGCCAUGAAGUACGAUCCACGGGCGCUGUCCAAUGCUUUU